CCUUGUACACACCGCCCGUCACACCACGAAAGUCGAUUGCACCAGAAGUCGGUGUCCUAACUGGGGUAAGGAGGGAGCCGCCCAAGGUUUGGUCGAUGAUUGGGGUG
This 107-nucleotide ribosomal RNA is filed under the name uncultured bacterium. RNAcentral's name for it is "partial 16S ribosomal RNA". It matches the Rfam family "Bacterial small subunit ribosomal RNA", at positions 1379 to 1482 of the family's 1533-position model. The record is from RNAcentral.